CAGUCGCCACGGUAAUACGGAGGGUGCAAGCGUUAAUCGGAAUUACUGGGCGUAAAGCGCACGCAGGCGGUUUGUUAAGUCAGAUGUGAAAUCCCCGAGCUUAACUUGGGAACUGCAUUUGAAACUGGCAAGCUAGAGUCUUGUAGAGGGGGUAGAAUUCCAGGUGUAGCGGUGAAAUGCGUAGAGAUCUGGAGGAAUACCGGUGGCGAAGGCGGCCCCCUGGACAAAGACUGACGCUCAGGUGCGAAAGCGUGGGGAGCAAACAGGAUUAGAUACCCGCGUAGUCCCUGUCUCUUAUACC
This 301-nucleotide ribosomal RNA is filed under the name uncultured bacterium. RNAcentral describes it as "partial 16S ribosomal RNA". It matches the Rfam family "Bacterial small subunit ribosomal RNA", at positions 509 to 808 of the family's 1533-position model. The record is from RNAcentral.